This 475-nucleotide ribosomal RNA is filed under the name uncultured bacterium. RNAcentral's name for it is "partial 16S ribosomal RNA". It matches the Rfam family "Bacterial small subunit ribosomal RNA", at positions 28 to 523 of the family's 1533-position model. The record is from RNAcentral.
GACGAACGCUGGCGGCGUGCUUAACACAUGCAAGUCGAGCGGAAAGGCCACUUCGGUGGUACUCGAGCGGCGAACGGGUGAGUAACACGUGAGUAAUCUGCCCUUCACUUCGGGAUAGCUCCGGGAAACCGGGAUUAAUACCGGAUGUGACCACAUGUCGCAUGGUGUGUGGUGGAAACUUUUUUGGGUGGGGGAUGUGCUCGCGGCCUAUCAGCUUGUUGGUGGGGUAAUGGCCUACCAAGGCUUCGACGGGUAGCCGGCCUGAGAGGGUGACCGGCCACACUGGGACUGAGACACGGCCCAGACUCCUACGGGAGGCAGCAGUGGGGAAUAUUGGACAAUGGGCGGAAGCCUGAUCCAGCAACGCCGCGUGAGGGAUGACGGCCUUCGGGUUGUAAACCUCUUUCAGCAGGGACGAAAUUGACGGUACCUGCAGAAGAAGCCCCGGCCAACUACGUGCCAGCCGCCGCCGUAA